CGUUCUGCUGACAGCAAACAACUGGAUUGAACUGGAAUUUUCCGGUGGGCCUCAGCGUGGCAAUGAUACAGUGGACCAUCAACUUGACAAUGUCUACCCUGCUGGAGUAACGUCACUCCUGAGCAAUCUACAAAAGGCGCAGCAUUUCUGUGAUUUCUUCAGCGAUCAAGGCGUCUUCCUGAAGAACAUCAUGUCUAAAUUGCCACUGCUUUUUGCACAGGGAAAAGGACAGCGUUUAAAGAAUUGUUUCAAGCUGAAAGGCCCUAGUGUGUGGGUCAGCCAAGAUUAUGCCAAACAGCAGAAAUAAGAAGAAAGCUUUGGGAAUGUACAGCAUCGGAUUGGUCAAAAGGCACGAAAGUCCAGCUCGUCUACGAUGAAAUAAAAGUAAAAG
Rhipicephalus microplus (southern cattle tick) is the source of this 391-nucleotide long non-coding RNA. The record is from RefSeq and is a predicted model, not a curated record. NCBI's taxonomy places the organism in Eukaryota, Metazoa, Arthropoda, Arachnida, Ixodida, Ixodidae.